GAUGAAGAACGUAGCGAAAUGCGAUACGUAAUGUGAAUUGCAGAAUUCAGUGAAUCAUCGAGUCUUUGAACGCACAUUGCGCCCCCUGGUAUUCCGGGGGGCAUGCCUGUCCGAGCGUCAUUGCUGCCCUCAAGCACGGCUUGUGUGUUGGGCCUCCGUCCUCCUCCCGGGGGACGGGCCCGAAAGGCAGCGGCGGCACCGCGUCCGGUCCUCGAGCGUAUGGGGCUUCGUCACCCGCUCUUGUAGGCCCGGCCGGCGCUUGCCGACACAUCAAUCUUUUUUCCAGGUUGACCUCGGAUCAAGUAGGGAUACCCGCUGAACUUAAGCAUAUCAAUAAGCGGAGGA
Molecule: unclassified non-coding RNA, 345 nt
Filed under: soil metagenome
Description: partial contains 5.8S ribosomal RNA, internal transcribed spacer 2, and large subunit ribosomal RNA
Rfam family: 5.8S ribosomal RNA (bases 1-120)
Source: RNAcentral